RNAcentral lists this ribosomal RNA (460 nucleotides) under uncultured bacterium. RNAcentral's name for it is "partial 16S ribosomal RNA". It matches the Rfam family "Bacterial small subunit ribosomal RNA", at positions 338 to 795 of the family's 1533-position model. The record is from RNAcentral.
CCUACGGGUGGCAGCAGUGAGGAAUAUUGGUCAAUGGACGCGAGUCUGAACCAGCCAUGCAGCGUGCAGGAUGACUGCUCUAUGAGUUGUAAACUUCUUUUGUACGGGGAUAAACGCAGAUACGCGUAUCUGUCUGAAUGUACUGUACGAAUAAGGAUCGGCUAACUCCGUGCCAGCAGCCGCGGUAAUACGGAGGAUUCAAGCGUUAUCCGGAUUUAUUGGGUUUAAAGGGUGCGUAGGCGGGUGGAUAAGUUAGUGGUGAAAGCUUGAGGCUCAACCUUAGAAUUGCCUUUGAUACUGUCAGGCUUGAGAGCAGUUGCGGUAGGCGGAAUUCAUGGUGUAGCGGUGAAAUGCUUAGAGAUCAUACAGAACUCCGAUUGCGAAGGCAGCCUACCAAGCUACUUCUGACGUUGAGGCUCGAAAGUGUGGGGAGCAAACAGGAUUAGAUACCCGAGUAGUC